AUUCUGGGCAAAAAAAGGGAAGAGAGGCUGAGCCGAGCUACAGUCAAAAAGUCCGCGGGUCUGUCGAAAUAGCAAUAUGAAGAUCAAGGACGCCAAGAAGCCUUCAUUCCCUUGGUUUGGAAUGGAUAUUGGUGGAACGCUAGUGAAACUAGUUUAUUUUGAGCCAAUUGAUAUUACAGUUGAAGAGGAGGAGGAAGAGGUAGAAAGCCUAAAAAGUAUUCGUAAGUACUUGCUGUCAAAUGUUGCCUAUGGAUCUACGGGCAUCCGAGAUGUGCAUCUUGAGCUCAAAGACUUGACGCUUUGUGGCCGCAAAGGAAACCUGCACUUUAUUCGAUUUCCUACACAUGACCUACCUACCUUCAUUCAAAUGGGCAGAGAUAAGAAUUUUUCAACACUACAUACAGUGCUCUGUGCCACUGGAGGGGGUGCUUAUAAAUUUGAAGAAGAAUUUCGAAUGAUUGGCAAUCUGCAGUUACAUAAACUGGAUGAAUUGGACUGCCUGGUCAAUGGCCUCUUGCACAUUGACUCUCUCAGUUUUAAUGGUCAAGCAGAAUGUUAUUAUUUUGAGAAUGCCUCAGACCCUGAGAAGUGCCAGAAGAUGCCUUUCAACCUUGAUGACCCCUACCCUUUGCUUGUGGUGAACAUUGGGUCAGGAGUUAGCAUAUUAGCUGUAUAUUCAAAGGACCAGUAUAAGAGAGUAACUGGAACCAGUUUAGGAGGUGGAACCUUCCUGGGCCUCUGUUGUUUACUUACAGGUUGUGAGACUUUUGAUGAAGCCCUUGAAAUGGCAUCUAAGGGUGACAGCACCAUGGCUGACAAACUAGUAAGGGACAUCUAUGGGGGAGAUUAUGAACGCUUUGGUUUGCCAGGUUGGGCAGUUGCAUCCAGCUUUGGCAACAUGAUUUGCAGGGAGAAGCGAGAUUCAGUCAGCAAAGAAGACCUCGCAAGGGCUACAUUGGUCACCAUCACAAACAACAUAGGAUCCAUUGCCCGUAUGUGUGCAGUGAAUGAGAAGAUAAAUAGAGUUGUUUUUGUUGGCAACUUCCUGCGAGUCAAUACACUUUCAAUGAAACUCCUGGCCUAUGCACUCGAUUAUUGGUCAAGAGGUCAGCUGAAGGCAUUGUUCCUGGAACAUGAGAUCUGUGAUGAAUUUGGAUGGAGAUGAAUAAGUUCCACAUGAAAGAAAUGGUGAAACCAAAAACAUGUGAUUGAUGAGGAAGACCAAGAGUAGAUCCGUACAAAAUUGGCAGUUGACGGGUUACUUUGGAGCAGUAGGUGCCCUGCUUGGACUUCUCAAUUCCACUUAAAAGUCAAGGCACUCAACAUCCUGGUGAUAUCUGAAGAAAUGCACAUGUCGACAUGAUGGUUUAAAAUAGAAAGAUUCACCCAGGGUAACAAAACCUUGUGAAAAUAUUGAGUCACACUACAGGCUGACUGUAUUACUGAAGUAUUCUUUCUACUUGAAAAGUUUAAAAAAAGUACAGAUUUUUAAAAAUUGAGUCCAAUGUAUUAGGCAUUAAGCCACUGCAUACCUUCUCAGUACAUCGCUGCUGCAAAUGGCCAUGUCCAUGAGGGUUGUUCGAUUUUGUUAAUCUAAUCUUUAUUUAACCUUUAUCCUAUUCAAAUGGUAUCCAAAAUAUCUCGAAUUGUACGUAUGAAAAUCUUGCUUGGACAUCCGAAACCUCUGGCUAAUUAUUUGCAGAAAGAUAAGCGUAGUGUUUCACGGAUGCAAUAAAUAAAUUGUGUGCAACAGAAUCUGGGAGUAAGGUAUCUGCCUUGUGGGGAGUAGUUUUGACUGACUCAAGGAUCCUUACUUAGUAAUACAGAUUUGUUUUAAACACACUUUAUUUAGAGAAUCACUGCAGAUAAAAUGCAUACAAUUGAGCAAAAUGGGCCAUUUUCAGGCAAAAAAAAUGCAGCAAAAAUGUGACCCCUUCUGUCUAGGAAGGCCAAGGUACGUGUUUAUGUACAUACCAAAAGUGGCUUUUAUUUAUUUUUUAAAGCACUUGUUAGUUUUAUUCAGGAAAUGUUUGUAUUUUGUAUGGGAGAGGUAGAAUUCUACCGACUUCUGAAAUCACUGGAAAUAUUUCAUUCUCUAGAAUGCCUUAAGCCCACACCAAGAACAUGUGCAUACUAUAGUGCAUCCUAACAAAGAAAUGGGACAAACUAAAUUUGCACAUCACUUGGGCUUAUCCUCAUAUCGGAAUUAUACUUUUUGAAGGUAAUAGGGGCAUAUUUCAUUGUUGGGUAAAUUAUAUCUGACCAAAUGGUCUCCUAAAACAUUGGCACAGAGUUUGUGAGUGCUCAUUGUAUAUGGGAUUGGAUCACCUCUUGACGUUCCUUAAUCGUGUCUAUUUUAAUAUAUGUUUGAAAUUUACAACAGAGUAUUAAUUUAAUGUUGGAUUUUUUUUGAAAGGUGCAAUAGUCUAUGACUAGUACCUUCUAUAUUAAUGUGCAGCGAUUUCAAACUAAGUGACUAAUGAUUGCAAGAUACGGUAAUGUUGGUAAUAACCAACUGAUUCAUAGAAAAUGAUGCAGGCAGUAUUAAAUAUCACUUGAUUCUGUUUCCUUCUGCUAAUCGGCUACUAUUGUCAGUCCAUCACUUGUGCAGUGGUUAUGUGUCAAAUGUCCAAUAUAGCUUUCACCACCUUAUGUGAAACAUGCUCCUAAUCUAAGUUAAAAUAACACAGACAACUAAUUUAAUAAAGUCGCUAUAAAUUUUAUUUUA
This is an RNA transcript of Rhincodon typus (whale shark), 2728 nucleotides long. It is a transcript of the gene named pantothenate kinase 3, with no coding region annotated. The record is from RefSeq and is a predicted model, not a curated record. Lineage: Eukaryota; Metazoa; Chordata; Chondrichthyes; Orectolobiformes; Rhincodontidae. The transcript has 8 exons.